This is a long non-coding RNA of Vombatus ursinus (common wombat), 1580 nucleotides long. RefSeq lists it as uncharacterized. NCBI's taxonomy places the organism in Eukaryota, Metazoa, Chordata, Mammalia, Diprotodontia, Vombatidae. The record is from RefSeq and is a predicted model, not a curated record. The transcript has 4 exons.
AAAGGUGGUGGAGGUGGAAACCUUAGUGUUUCGCUCAACGGAAACUGAAAGGCUGGGCCUGCCCGCUGCGCUGGAGGGGGAGGGAGAAGCAGAAGGGAGCGGAAAGCAAGACCAGAACCCUGCCAUGGCUCCCGCAGCGGGAGGAGCUCUUCUGACCCGCCUCCUCUCGUUGAUUGGGUGCCUCGCCUCCCGCCGCGUGUGAAAACACAAAUGGCGUUUGCUGGUUGGAGUGAAGCUCCUGUCAGUUACGGCCUCGAGAAUACGCCGCUGCCUAGGCUAUCGGACUGCCCCAUGGGCGGGGUAGACAAACUCGUAAAUGACACAUUUCAACUGAAAACAGGUCUAGAGAAAUCUGUGAAGAGUAUUGCUACAAAAAUCUACAAGACGAGAUCAGGCUGUUUAUGGAACGGACUUCGGAUCACCAGAUUCUGAUUUGUUCCUUGCCAUUGCAACUUCCCUGGUCUAUGCUCCAGUUUAUCAAGUCACAUCACUACCCCUUGAACAUCUUAGCUUACUAUGUGGUCUCUGGCCUUUCAGGUUUUUCUGUUCUUCAAAUCCACUGUUCACAUCCCUUUGAGAAUACUCUUUCUUAAACACCGAUUUCAUUAUGUUAACCAAAUUCUGAACUAUGAGAAGAAAUGAUGUCUCCUUUAUAAUCUGGAAGAGGAAGUUAAUAGUACAUAAGAAAGGAAAUAAAUAUUCUACACAUUCAAUAGAUGACUAAGGGUUGAUAUGAUAGUUAUCCUCAAGUACUUAGUGCUGUCCUAUAGGAAAUGAGUAGAUAUAUUCAGUAUUGCCCCAGAAAGCAGAACUCAAACAUAUAGUAAGUUACAGGAAAACAGAUUCCUGCUGAACAUAAGGAAGGGUAGCCUUGUGUCUGUUUAUUCAAGGAGAAACAUUAUUCUAAGAACCCCAUUUGAGACACCAUGCUAUAGUUUUGCAUGACUUUACAUGUUAUCAUUGGUAUCCAAUUGCCUGGCUUCUGGGGGGGGGGAGGAAGAGAAUUUGAAACUCAAGAUAAAAAAUGAAUGUUAAAAGUAUUUUUUUACCUGUCAUUGGGAAAUAUUUAAUACAAUAAAAAUAUAUUGGAAAAAUGUAGUAAUAAACUUCUUACCUCCAAAAUGAUUUUUUAAAAAAAAUAUGCAAGUAGCUUAAAAAAGAUGGAGCAUGUCCAAAGAGGUGGGUGGGGAUGGGGGGGGGGGGUGUACAUACACACAUAUACCUAGAACUCCAGAUCUUGUUGUACAAGAAUCAGUUGAAAGAACUGAAGCUAUUUAACCUGGAGGAGAGAAGACAAAGGGGAGUAUGAUAGCUGUCUUUUUAAGUGUCUUGAUAGGCUGUCAUCAUGUGGAAUAUUAGAUUUCUUGGCUUGGUCCGCAAAACUAGCAGAGAGGCAAGAGUUCCUGUCAAUGGAAAUAAAAAUUUCCAAAUAAUUAGUUCUCCUAAAGUAGAAUGGGCUGCCUCAAAAAAAGCAACAAAUUCUCUGUUACUGUGGAUCAACUAGAAGUUGUCAUGAAAAAUGCUGUCCACCUCCAGUGAAGAAAAAUGCAGAUGGAAGCAUAUUUAAAAAAAAAAAAUGG